Molecule: transfer RNA, 68 nt
Filed under: Marmota monax (woodchuck)
Lineage: Eukaryota; Metazoa; Chordata; Mammalia; Rodentia; Sciuridae
Description: tRNA.Ala
Source: RNAcentral
GGAUUGUGGCUCAGUGGUAGAGUGCUUGCCUAGCAUGCACAGGGCACUGUGUUUGAUCCUCAGCACCA